This is a long non-coding RNA of Bacillus rossius redtenbacheri, 5392 nucleotides long. RefSeq lists it as uncharacterized. The record is from RefSeq and is a predicted model, not a curated record. NCBI's taxonomy places the organism in Eukaryota, Metazoa, Arthropoda, Insecta, Phasmatodea, Bacillidae. The transcript has 2 exons.
GAUAGCUUGAAAAAGUAUAAAGGCACAAUUUUUUUACUAAUAUUUACGAAUAGUAAAUCAUAUUAAUCAAAAUAUUCAAUUUAAAUCACUACUGAAUAUAAUUUAUUAGCACAUAAUAUAUAAUUCGCACUUGUAUGAAACUAAAACACGUGUUGUGAAUGUAGAAACUAGAAACAUGUGGAUAAAUAUUAUAAAUAUGAAAACAGUGAUCAGAGGCGACGAGCGUGCCAACAUGCGCGACUAAUAGAGGUUCUAUUUCUAUUUUGUUGGUAGCUUUUUUUCGAGACUUAAUGAACGGUUUAGCGGGCAGCUUCAACCUGUUAAUUUUGUCUUACAGUGAUCCGCGCCCAUCUUAAAAUUUCACUCAUCAUUUUUUUCAUAACGCGCCUAAAGAAGUAUAACUUUAAAAAAAUAAAAAUGAAGAUUAAAAAGGGUAUGUUAAAAAGUUACAAUUUUCUUGGUAAGUAAUGUGAAACGGAAGUGGCUUGCCCUCUUUUUUGUGCCCUACGGAUGCCAUGUUAACAGGUUUUCCCUGAAGAUUAUCGUCAAACGAAAAAAAAAAAAAAUAUAUUUUGUAAAUCAUGACGACAAGCAAGUUGCAAGACGUAACCUUCCUUUAGACCUACGAAUUAUUCGAUCUUCCUUCCUGGACUUUCUUCACGUUGAAAAUGUUUCUAACAAUCAUUUAUUCACCACUGUAUACUGCGUCGUUGUUUACUGUGUUACCAUGAAGCAGGCACGUAUAAUUCAGAUAAUAAACUGAAGAAAAAUCGUACUAUAAAGAUAACUGAGGAGUCGCACGCCAUCAAAGAGAGGCUGUUGUAAUGUAUACGCCUGCGUUUCAGCCAGACGUUUGCCACGGAAUUCGUAUUAAAUUAAGAACCGCCAAUGCUUUUGUAAACUAAGAGACGUGCGACAGCUGAAAGGCGAGACUCUGAGAAAGCGACGUUAGCUGUUGCUUCUCUUCCAGGAAGUAUAGUCAGUUCCGAUUUCCGUAGACCUCGUAGUUUCUGAAGGGGGAUACAAUUUUCGAGCGUUUUGAAAAUUCCGAUCGCACGCGGAGAAUAGUUAGGUACGUGGUGGGGGAACCGAUAGAGGAGGAGACAGCAUGUAGAAAUGACACUUGCAUUCUUGCACACUUGCAUAAUUUCACACUAAUACAGUUGUGUAAUAGCACAAUUUAGCGCUCGCAUUCUUACAUAUAUAUAUAUUUUUUAAUCUGUUACCUCAGCCAGUGAAAAUUAUGUUUCCGAUAUGUAAUAAUUAUAAUAAGCAAGAAGUUUCUAAUCGAUAGCGCGUGGCCUACACGCACACAUCCCCCCCCCCCACCCGUCAUUUAACUUUUCAACUCAAAUCUUUCUUCUGCAAACGAAAUAUCUCGAAAUCUCUAUAUGUACCUGGUUGCAACCAAAUAUUUACUAAUAGGAUCUAGUAUAUAAGCGCUGCGAGAAAAUAACUUAUUAUUUUUCAUAGCGGCGACUACAACUGUCAAGAUAAUCGCACCAGUUCAAAAGUUUUGACUUCAACAAGUAGCCGAAGCCAGGUCCUACGCCAUUUCAAACAAAAAAUAAAUAAAAAUAAAUCUCGGAAGCUUUGUUGCAGUCGGUAUCAAAAUAUUUUAAAUUGAAAGAAGGCAAGGCCUAAUCCCACUUCAAAGUCCGUGUUUGCUACGAAGCUACUGUUAUCUGUAACUUCAAGCAACUCGUAUUGUUUUUUUGUAGGUGCACUGUUCCUUAAAAAGUUCGUAAAUUGUUGAGUUUAAUUUCCCACGGUGCAGGAAACUACAACUCCGGAAGCAGUUUCGAAGCUAUAUUGCCCCUUCAAGCGAAUGAAAGUAUAGGAUAGCCUCUUUUUGCCGCCAUUUUAUGGCGGCGUCUGCAAAUGCUGAGACGGCCUCCUGCACUCCAGUGCUUGUCGGUAACCUCAACUGCUGACAGCGGAAGAGGAAAACGCUGAACGUGCUUGUAACCAGGAUGUUAUACUGGCUUUCGGAAAACAUUGCACGUUCACGUGUUCACAUACCAAGGUUUUUUUUUUUUUAAAUUGCACUUCUGCGACGACGGAUGUUAGGAAAAAAUCGUGUUUCAUUGCAAGUCCUUUUUUAUGUUAGUGAUUGAAAAAUUAACUGUUGAUAUCUUUGAAGGUAAUGAUAAUUUUUUUAUAUGUGGCUUAUGGACUGCAGACGAUGCAACUAUAACGAAUAUAUAUAUAUAUAUAUAUAAGCAAAGAAAUUAAAUCGGUUUUUCUAAGCCUAGAAUUAGCUCUCAGAAAUAACUGUCAAUUAAGUUGUGACCAUUCGCGGUCGAAAGCAUGCGCGCGACCAAGUGUUUUGAACAGUGGCGUAACCAGGAUUUGUGUAUGGGGGGGGGGGGGUUAAGAAGCAUGGUUCCCCCCCCCUUAUUAAAACGGGGGAGUCCGGGAGUCCACCCCCGGGAAAAAUUUGGAUUUUAAGGUGUAAAAUAGUGCUAUUUUAGCAGUUUUCGGUACUUAACUUUAAAUAUUGUAAUUGUAAAAUAUAAUUAAUUUUUUAAUAAAAAAAUUGUUUGAGUGAUGAAGUAAGAAAUUAACUAAAGAUAUUUUUAUCAAUCCAAGUGCCUUGUUUACGUCCACUCAAUAUCAUAAUUCUUGCUCGAAGAUCGACAAUACAAAAAAAAAAGGAAUAAAAAGGGUUGGGUUUCGGCAGAACCAUUGAAUAUAUAUAUAUUCAAUGGCAGAACUGAUCUAUUCCUGGAAACAAUUAUCUUUAGCUUGAAGAGUUACAUGACACCAUGACGUUGUCUCAAUUCUAUACACACUCAGCGAUCCUUACACUUUUGGAAGCCCAGUCAACACCUGCUUAUGAUUACCGCGCUGGUUAAAUUCAAUAGGUGUAAGAUAUUUGAAAGCUUGGGACCCGUCACGGCGUCACAACCUUAUAGCUUCUGCUCGCGACAGGGGUAGGGGAAGGGAAGGAGAAUCGGUAGGGCUCGCUUACUCUUCCCCUCCAGUGCAGUGCCCGGUGAUUGCAGUAAGACACCCAGGCUUUUAGCUAACCUGCUUUCAGAUAAGAAAAAAGAAUUGUAGCUAAGAGGGGGGUGGGGUGUUAGAACCCCUAACCCCCCCCCCCCUAUGACUACGCCCCUGGUUUUGAAACGUCUUUAGACUUCACAUUAGGCUGCAGAGUAGAACUGUUAAGGAAAAAAGAGGUCCCAGGUGUGAUUCGUCACAAGUAUUCUGUAAAGUGCGCAAAUUAAAUUACUUUUGUGUAUAAAAAUUCAAUUAAAAUAGAAAAUAAGAAAUGAAGAUAUUCACCAAACAUCAUCAGCAUUAGAAUACUAGCCAAUCAAGGCGGAAAUGAUUUUAUUUUUAAAGCAGUGGGUACGUAAUGCGAUUCAUAGCUUAUGUUCACUUUUAAAUUAGUGUUAAUUGCGUCAAAUAAUUAUGAGAACGAUAUCCGACGGCUCGAAGUCGCUCCAGAAUCUAUCACCGCAAGUAUCGAUUAACUCCCCCUGAAUCGUGGCGAAGUGGUGUUUCGCAGGGGUUAUUUCUUCUGCAGACAGGUUGCGCAUAACAUCGAGGUCAAGACGUCACAUCGUCCAUAGAGAAUACGUCACGAUGCAGGUUUGUGAGAAUCUCCAUGGAGCCGCGAAUGAUUCCUAGUUCCGUGGUCGAUCCGGGAUCGAACCUUCUGGAUCGUGGUUUUCUGCUAUGGCCACGGCGAGCAUCGUUGGCAGGGUGUCCACAAGGAAAAUAUAUUUCGUACCAACUUAGGCGAGAAAAAAGUACUAGAUUUGAAAAAAAAAAGUACUAAAUUAUAAUUUGUUAUGGUUUUAACAAUUUAGGAAGUUAUAAUGAAAUUGCAAUGCUCUAACUUAAACAUCACACCACACACACGUACAUUCCAUAGUUUUUAAAAAUAAUUACGCUUAAUAAUAAAACAUAUUGGAGUUACUGUAAUAUUAUUAUAUUAAAGAAAAAAAGUACUAGAACUCGGCGUAAAUGUACUAGACCACUAAAAGUACUAGAUCUAGUACGAAAGUACUAACUGUGGAACCCUGAUCGUUAGUUGAAUUUGAACGAUUCGCGGAAGGGUGGGAAAUUCCGGAAGCUGAGGGGUGGGGGGGAAGCGCAUCCCUCGCAUGCGGGGUCAGAGGUCAGGAUCAAUACGAGUAUUUUCUCCCGGUGUCCUUCGAACGCCCGCCCAAUACGCGCCCAGCUGAGGUCCCGGCACGGGGCCAUCGAUCCGCGGGCCGCGCGGGAAAACUGGGUCACGCGGUACCGGCCGUGCGAGCAGCUGACGCGCGGAGCUAGCGCCGCGCCGGUGCAGCGCUCUGUCGGCGCGCGGAGGAACUACGUGGUGCGCGCAGCUUCGGGCCCCGACGCGCCGGUCGCCGCCAGUUGGAUCCAGACUUCAGCCCGCGCCGGCAGCAGCGCAGCUGAUUGGUCCUCGCCAGCGACGCCAGUGAGAGUGGACUGAGCGCCGCAGCCAUGCUGAACCCUAGCGAGCAGCUGUCCAAGCCCGCGGCAAAAUGGCGGCUGCCGCGCGUCGCGCGCGACGGCCGGACGUCCGGGGGCUGGUGGCGCGUCUUCAGGCUGGCCAACCUGCUGCUGCAGACGGGCUGCUGAGGGCGCCUCUAGCGGCCGCUGCGAGAACCUCUUCGUCUCUUCGCCCCGUCCGGCACGAUGACGUCACGCGCCCAUAGACUCCACCCGUCAUAGUCCGAGCACACCUCGCAUAGCCCGCGCGUUGCGCGAGGAGUCUCUUAACACAAGCAUGUAAUUAACAUUACCACUCAGUAAUCAAGUAACUGGGGCGAGCAGUCGCCAUGUAACUAUCACUAGAACACUAAUUAAAAUGAUGUACAGAGUUUAAUGAUUUAGCGUUUAAGGAAAUGGUGCCUCCUUGAAUGUUCGGCCUAUUGCACUUAAAUUAUUCAUGUUAUUUGCGUACAUUUUCAUUCAAUACAUACACACACUACGUUUUCCAUUAUAUUUAGUAAUCAUAAGGAAGCAUUUCAGACGAUAUUGAGACGUUAGAGACUUUAUUAUUACUAUACAAAUGUAUUCACAUAAUACUACAAAAAGUCCAUCAAUUGUAUACGGAGUUAGAGGAAAUGUUCAGGAUAAUAACAUAAAAGUACAAAUCGAAAUAUUUUUUUUUGUACUGUAUGUGUUCAUAAUGAUAAAUUGACAACAUCUUAAAAAUAUAUUUGUGAACGUUAAAAUGGUAGUCUUAAUGGUAAAGAAAGUUAAUGUAGUAGUAUUUUUUUUAGACCACUAACUAUUUUUGUGAUUUAGUAGUUUGUUCAGAACUUAAAUUAUAUUUAGCAUGUGAUACGUUAGUAAGUUAUUAAUGUUGUUAAAUAAUAUUUUAUCUUGUAAAUUUGUUCUGGAUUAAAAGUUUAAUCAUUUA